This 451-nucleotide ribosomal RNA is filed under the name uncultured bacterium. RNAcentral's name for it is "bacterial SSU rRNA". It matches the Rfam family "Bacterial small subunit ribosomal RNA", at positions 28 to 477 of the family's 1533-position model. The record is from RNAcentral.
GACGAACGCUGGCGGCGUGCUUAAUACAUGCAAGUCAACGACUUUUAGAGUAGCAAUAUUUUAAAAGGAGUGGCGCACGGGUGAGUAACACGUAGGUAAUCUGCCUUCAGGACUGACACAACUCGUCGAAAGACGGGCUAAUAUCAGAUAAUGCAGCGGCUCCGCAUGGAGACAGUUGUUAAAGCACAAGCGCCUGAAGAUGAGCCUGCGGUCCAUUAGCUAGUUGGUAGAGUAACAGCCUACCAAGGCAACGAUGGAUAGCUGGUCUGAGAGGAUGAUCAGCCACACUGGAACUGAGACACGGUCCAGACUCCUACGGGAGGCAGCAGUAAGGAAUAUUGCUCAAUGGCCGAAAGGCUGAAGCAGCAACGCCGCGUGAAGGAUGAAUGGCCUUUGGCCUGUAAACUUCUGUAAAAGGGAAAACAAUCAGGCAUGUCCUGAUUUGAUUGUA